This is a ribosomal RNA of 437 nucleotides. It matches the Rfam family "Bacterial small subunit ribosomal RNA", at positions 341 to 792 of the family's 1533-position model.
ACGGGAGGCAGCAGUGGGGGAUAUUGCACAAUGGGCGCAAGCCUGAUGCAGCAACGCCGCGUGCGGGAAGACGGCCUUCGGGUUGUAAACCGCUGUCCUUGGUGAAGAAACAAAUGACGGUAACCAUGGAGGAAGCCACGGCUAACUACGUGCCAGCAGCCGCGGUAAUACGUAGGUUGCAAGCGUUGUCCGGAUUUACUGGGUGUAAAGGGCGUGUAGGCGGAGCUGCAAGUCAGAUGUGAAAUCCCGGGGCUCAACCCCGGAACUGCAUUUGAAACUGUAGCCCUUGAGUAUCGGAGAGGCAAGCGGAAUUCCUAGUGUAGCGGUGAAAUGCGUAGAUAUUAGGAGGAACACCAGUGGCGAAGGCGGCUUGCUGGACGACAACUGACGCUGAGGCGCGAAAGCGUGGGGAGCAAACAGGAUUAGAUACCCUGGUA